This 253-nucleotide ribosomal RNA is filed under the name uncultured bacterium. RNAcentral's name for it is "partial 16S ribosomal RNA". It matches the Rfam family "Bacterial small subunit ribosomal RNA", at positions 524 to 776 of the family's 1533-position model. The record is from RNAcentral.
UACGUAGGUGGCAAGCGUUGUCCGGAUUUAUUGGGUUUAAAGGGUGCGUAGGCGGGCUAUUAAGUCAGUGGUGAAAGCCCCAAGCUUAACUUGGGAACUGCCAUUGAUACUGAUGGUCUUGAGUACAUUUGAGGUGGGCGGAAUGUGUCAUGUAGCGGUGAAAUGCUUAGAUAUGACACAGAACACCGAUUGCGAAGGCAGCUCACUAGACUGUAACUGACGCUGAGGCACGAAAGCGUGGGGAGCAAACAGG